AUUGCAGGCUGCAACUCGCCUGCAUGAAGUUGGAAUUGCUAGUAAUCGCGAAUCAGAAUGUCGCGGUGAAUACGUUCCCGGGCCUUGUACACACCGCCCGUCACACCAUGAGAGUCGAUAACACCCGAAGCCUGUGACCCAACCUUAAGGAGGGAGCUGUCGAAGGUGGAGCCGGUAACUGGGGUGAAGUCGUAACAAGGUACC
RNAcentral lists this ribosomal RNA (204 nucleotides) under uncultured bacterium. RNAcentral describes it as "partial 16S ribosomal RNA". It matches the Rfam family "Bacterial small subunit ribosomal RNA", at positions 1297 to 1500 of the family's 1533-position model. The record is from RNAcentral.